RNAcentral lists this long non-coding RNA (594 nucleotides) under Pan troglodytes (chimpanzee). RNAcentral describes it as "long non-coding RNA NONPTRT003809". Lineage: Eukaryota; Metazoa; Chordata; Mammalia; Primates; Hominidae. The record is from RNAcentral.
GCGAGUUGACUGAGCAGCCAGGUAGAUAUGGGUUCAGAUCUCUGCUUCUGUCCUGCUGUGCCAAGUGCUGGGGCAGACGCAGGCAGAGAGUGGACAGCGGCAUGGUUCCUGCUGCUAGCCAUUUCUAUGCAAAACCAGAUGUCUGGUCCCAUCCUGGAGGCCAAUUCUAGGCCGGGCCGGGAUCAGAUGGGAAGCGGAAGCUCAUCAUGACCAGAAACUGUUACCCUACGGAGAGCACUUGGAGAUGGCAAUGCUGAACCUCACACUGUAGGACUCACACACGACUCUAACGGGAUUGUGAGAAUCAAGUCACUCUCGUGGGAAGAAUUUUUAUAUGGGAAAGCGGCUAAAACUUUCAUUGGACUGGAAUGUUUGGAAAAUGUUAAAUUCCAAAUCAGGAACCACAAACUGCCCUCUAAUAAGACAUCAGCUAUCUAAGCGUGUGGGUGCCGCCUUUCUGCCAGUAGUUCCGGUUCUUAAGAAAAUCACCAUAAAUCAGACAUGAAAAUUCUGGCUCCAAAAAUAGCAUUUUCUUUGUGCAAAUAAAAACGUGUGUAUCACGUAUGACAUUCCCCCAACGUGGACACACUUGGU